AGCCGGGCGGCCCGACGGCGGGCACACCGGGGCUGUUGGCCUCGAGUGAGGUGUUCGGCGUCGCCUCCCGGUAG
Molecule: transfer RNA, 74 nt
Filed under: Phytohabitans flavus
Lineage: Bacteria; Bacillati; Actinomycetota; Actinomycetes; Micromonosporales; Micromonosporaceae
Description: tRNA-Asn
Source: RNAcentral